UUCUUGUCAACAGCACCGGCUCCGGCUUCCUUGGGGAGCUUCUUCCCGGCCUUUGGCUUCUUCUCAGCAGGGGCUUUCUCAGCUGGUUUCUUCUCCUCCACUGGCUUCUUCUCAGCCGGCUUCUUCUCUGCCUUUGGCGCCAUUGUAGGGACUUUGGUUUGUAAAGAAAGAGUGAUGUUCUAAAAAGAGAGAGAUGAUUGUUGUUCGUUGUGAUAAUGAAUGGAGGGAGAGUUGUGUUUAUAUACGGAAUGUGAGGCGUGAUCUGAUUGGAUGAUUUCUGUUGUCGGGGAUCGUGGAUUAUGGCCGUUGAUUUCUUUUGAGUAGUUUCAGCGGACAGGAUUUAGUUUUCUAAAAGUGAGGAUGAUGCUGGUUUUGAGGCCCUUUGAUGAAUUUAAGGUAGAAUAAAUUACAAUUUAGGUCCAUGUGUUUUACAUUAUUUAUAGUUUGAGCCAAAUAUUUAAAAAAUAAUGCGCCUCAUAUCUAUGGUUUGAAAAAAAAUGCAUUUAUUGUAUCUUGGAUUAACAUGGUGAAUUCUCAGUUUAAUGCUUGUUUGUUAUUUUGAUAUUGUUCAUAAUUUUAGGGGACUAUUUGUAUAAAAAACUCUUAGACAUAUGCUCAAGUUAAAUUAUAAAUUAAAGUUAGAGGGAUUAAAAUUGCAACUUUUAAGAAAUUUACUUUGACCUUGCUUCGACUUAUGUUAGGAACCAAAAAAUUAAGAAAUUAGUUAGCCGGUGUUAAUUUGGUAAGAUCGGUAAAGAUGUGUGAUCAUUUAAUGGUUAGAUACUUAAAUAUAAGAAGUGGAAGUUUAGGUGUUUAUCGUGUUAAUUUGUCGUAGUUUAGACAUAAGCUUUCUUCUUCCCUCUCAUUUUGAAUGUAACGACUUUGGAGUUCUUGGGGAUACGAGAAGCGGCGAUUUUGAGCUUGUGGAAGGAUAAUGUAUAUCACGACUUUGUUGUUAGCUCAUCAUAAAAAUACAUUUUUCUAUCUCAAAUCAUGUUUAUUAGUUAGUCCAUAAUCUAAUAAUAGUGACUUCAAAUUUGUCAUUUGAUUGAUUUCAAACUUAUGAUGAAUUUAUGGAGUUAAUUUUAGCAUUUUGAAUAUAGAUUACAGUUUGAAUGGAUUUGAAUUGUGGAUCAUCAAUCUAAAUUCUAUAUUAUAGUUUAAGAUCAUCAAAUUGAAUCAAUAUGUGGAGAUCUAGUUGCACUUGUGGUCAUUUAAGCAUUUAAGUGGAACUUAUGAAUUUUUUGAAAAAUGCAAAACUAAAACCUUUAGAUCUCCUGUACUUACAAAACAUAGUUUAGAUGGGUGAAAUUAGAUUUUAAACAUGUUUUGAAUGUUACUUGUCAUCCUCGGUGAUUACAAGUGGAUUUGGAAUGUUUUUAGUCAAGUUGAACGGUUGUUUUUUAAGAUCUUUGUUCGAACAUAAAGUGUUAGAUGUGUAUUUCACAACCUAUAGAAGCAUGGGUCCUAUUUUUCUUUGGUGGUUUUUUUUUUUUGAACCAGCAAACUAACAUACUCCUAAAACCACCUAUGUCUCUUAAUGAGACUUGAAUAAUGACCUCUUAUUUGAGAGUGUCACCCCUUACCGUUAGGCCAAAGUUCAUUUGGUUCUUUGGUGGCUAUAACAUUUUCUUUCUUAGUCCGUUAAAAAUGAGAUUGUAAACAUAAAUGGUGAUUAAUAUGUUUAAUUAGUGGUUAAUCACUUGUUUAAAAUUAGUUUUUAUAUGACCACUUGCUAAUCUUUCAACACACAAGAGUGAAGUGGUGCCCAUAUACUUUCUAAUGUGAGGUAUGCCAAGAGUGUAUGUGCUUAAAGGUAAAUUGGUCAUUUUGUUUUAUUGAUUUAACAUGUAAAAUGGUUUCCGACCACCAAGUGUGGCACUUGUGUGAUUUUCAAAGGUGAUGGGUUUUUGGACAAUCCUCAUACGCAAAAAGGAUUUGUGACCACCAUAUGUGGCCCUUGUGUGAUUUUUCAUAAAUGUAUUAUGUUUGGUUUGAACUACAACUUACAUUGAAUGUGUAUGAGGUUCUUUGUGUCUACUAUACAUAAGCCUUAACUUUAGAACGGACGUUGAAAGUGUACCAUGUGGAAUGAGUCACCGUACAUCAGCCCUAACUACAACUUCAUUAUGAGAUUGGACCUUGAGAUUUAAUAGGUUUUGGGAAUAGAAUUAUAUGCUUUGCUUAAUUGAAAUUGUUAAAUGUGAAUUUGGUUUGUUUGCCUUUAAAGUGCUUUAUUCCCUGAAUUUUUUUUACUUUAAACUAUUGAAUUAUUGGUCUAUUGAACCGUUGACUUGUAUAAUAAGCUAUUGAAUCACUUAUUAUUGAAUCAUUGGUGGUUGUUAAAGUCAACAAAUAAAUACCAUAAAUCUUGUACACUAAAAUAGCGCAUAACUGUAAAGGAAUCGAAUCCACGAGAAUUUGUUCAAUUUGUAACAAUAUAAAAUUUUUUUUGCAAAAAAUACUUGUAAAACGACAGUACAAUUAAAAAUUGGGAUUUUAGUAUUUUGAUUGCUUAAAAACAUAAGUAAACUAACACAAGACUUAAUGCAAUUUAAACAAAUAAAAUUGAUGUAAAUCAAUGUUGAGAUAAUGUUUGACAUUGGAAUUUCAUCAUUUGAACAUUUAGUUAAUAAAUCAUUGGACUUCAAAAUGCAAUAUUUGUAAUGGCCCCGAUCACCUCUUUAAUCAUACAAGGCCAAAAUGUUUGCCUAACUAUUCAAAUCCAUAAGCCUAAUGUUGCUUAAUUAUUCAAAUCCUUAAGCCCAAUGUGGCUUCCAUCUUCCAUUCAAGAUCAACUAGCCCAUAAGUUCUAGUUUUAACUGUUUCCAUCCUCCAUAUACACAGCCCCUUGUUCAAAUCUUCAUAACCACUUGGUUUCCUUCUUUCUCAUAAUUGUCCUCACUUUGCGUGAGCCUUCUAGAAAUAUCAAAUUAAGCACAAAAACUUGAAAGUACAUGAUUUAGACAGAAAACAGCAAAAAGUAAAAUAUGCAUGGAGAUUAACUAAAAAUAAGGCAAAAUAUGUUAAAAUAAACUAUAAAAGAUACACCUAUCAACCAUUAAUUUUUUUAAUCUUUUAAAAUAUCGAACAUAUUGCACCUUAGAUGGUUUGAAGUUAUUUUUUAGGGUUUGACUUUAAGUGUAGGUUAUUACCCUUGUCAAACACUUUUUAAAUGUUUUUUUUGCGGGUUUACUUAAAGUUUAGACAAGUUUAGAUUUUAGGUAUUGAGAAGACAUUGUAAAUUUGAAAUGUAAAGGUUGUAUGUUCUUACUUUAAAGUAUAUCUUUUGAUUGUGUUUUGUUAAAUCUUUGUAUGAUUUGACACGGUUUAAAAGGUUAUUACCAUAAAAUCCAUUUUUACAUAUUGAUUAUAAAUUAACCUUAAAUGGAUUUUUUUGUUUUGAAGUAACCAUUAUUUAGCCCUAAAUGGACUUUUGUCUUGAACCAUGCUAGUCGGUUUCACCAAUUUCAGCAGGUUACCCCUUGCAUGUAAUUUCUUUCGAUAAAUUAUAACUUACGCAUACAAGUUCCAUUUUCGACGUUUUUUAUAUCAACAGUUUCGUAACUCCGAGUACUACAACUUACCUUUAGAUCUUAACAAAUAAUUUGCAACCUUUUUUACUUUAUAUUUUAUAAAGAGUAACAGUAAAAGAUCUUUCGAAAUUCAUCUUCAUACGAGUUUCGUUCUCGACAUUUUUUAUAUACAUGGUUUCUUAAUUACGUGGACAUCAACUUUCCUUUACAUUACUUUUGUUACAAGGUAAUUAAUGUAUGUUUCAUAUUUUAUAGUAAAUAUUGGCGUAGUACGUUGUAAUGCGUAACUUCGAAAAAUCAUAACAUUUAUAUGACGUCAGAUUUUGACGAUCUUUAUACUCAUAGGUUUGUAUUUACGACUACUACAACUUUCAUGUAGAUUAUUUAUUUAAAAUAAUCUUUCGAUUAUAAAGUUUAUUUUAACAUAAUUUGUUAAGUUUAUGAUANNNNNNNNNNNNNNNNNNNNNNNNNNNNNNNNNNNNNNNNNNNNNNNNNNNNNNNNNNNNNNNNNNNNNNNNNNNNNNNNGUACGUAAAAUUCUUAUUUAUUUAUUUAUUUAUAAGAGAAUUUACAUUAUUAAGUAAAAUAAAUAUGGCUCUUCUACGAACUGUUUAAUAAAAAACAAGGGCGUUACAAUUAUUACCCACUUAAGAUGAUUUAUUCAUGUAAUCAUGCAUCAGUAAACAAUUAUGGAUAACGAAUAUUCAUGUCGUUUUUUGUUUCCUAAGUAAGGUUUAGCCCUAAUGUAUUCAAUCUCUUAUUUCAUAGAAUCUUCAAGAGUUAACAAUGGAGUCAUGCUUUGUUCUUUCCUUGCACGAUAAUGCCCACUCUUUCCAUAUUUGGAGCAUGUUACAUUAAUGAUACAUUUGCCAUGUUGUUUCUUUUCACACUUUUCAUACCAUUUCCUUUAUAUAUGUUGUCACUGGAGUCUAACUUGGGAAAGUUAUUAUUUUGUUGGACCCAAAUGAUCCAUCAAACUUCCUCUUCUCGUCGUUUACCACUUUUUCGAUAGUCCUCCCCUUAAUCAUACUAUCUACAAAAUUUGCAACCCAGAUGAAUGCAACAAUAGUGUUGGUAUGAUGUAUUGGCACAAAGUACUCGCAUGAUAGUCCCUUUCCAUACCUAUCGACUUUUGAUAGUUAAUCAUGAUGUGUGCUAGAUUUGAUUACAAACACAAUAGAUUCAAGAAAAACAAUUAAGAACAUAAUAAAUAUAAUUUGGUUGACUCGUAUUAUGUCUGAAGAUAGUACAAAGUUUCGAGAGUGUUUUACAAUGAACAGUGCAUAAAAGUUACCCUCAACUAGGGGUGUUGAUCGGGUAAAAUUUUCGGGUUUCGGGUAAUUCAGAUCUGGUAAUUCAAGUUUUUCAUGUUAAAAAAAUACCGGUUACCCGAACCAAAUUAAAUUCGAGUAAUUCGGGUUUAGUAAUGGUAGUGGCUCGGGUUUGGGUAAUUUGGGUAUUACNNNNNNNNNNNNNNNNNNNNNNNNNNNNNNNNNNNNNNNNNNNNNNNNNNNNNNNNNNNNNNNNNNNNNNNNNNNNNNNNNNNNNNNNNNNNNNNNNNNNNNNNNNNNNNNNNNNNNNNNNNNNNNNNNNNNNNNNNNNNNNNNNNNNNNNNNNNNNNNNNNNNNNNNNNNNNGAAUGACACCUGAAAAUAAAUUUAAUGAAAUAAAUAUGUCGUUCUCUAUUAGUCUUGUUUAUAUAACCAAACGAGACAUAAACGAAGUUACUCAAAUUUUGAACAUUGAGAUUUUUUAGUCGAUAAUACUUGAGAUAUCAAGUAAUCUUUUAACAACUUAAUCUAAUCUAAUAAGAUAUUCAAAAACAAAUACUUAAAGAUCUUAGUUUAAAAUGUUUAAGAUAAUUGUAGUCAUAAGUUUUGCCAUGUUCUGAAGUUUCGUCAAGAUAAUGAAAUUGUUAGUUGCAAUAAAAACUAUAAUCUAGAAAACAGUUAAGUUUCAAAGAACAUGGUGACAUAUAAACAAUUUCUUUUAAUAUUGUCGGUGUCAUACUGCCAUAAUAAAAGAGAUUCAUGUUUUAGAAUAAUGAUAGUUAGUUUGAGCGUCAAAUAUCUACUACAGAGUACAAGCUCUACGAAAGAAAAGAAAAAAAUAAAAUAAUUUUGGUAUACCCGAAACCCAACAAACGUACCCCAUACCGACCUGAAAAAAUAUUGGGUUACCUGAAUACCUAGAAAAUUAUACCGAUGUCCGAUUAACCCGACCUGAUUUACCCGAUACCCGAAAAAAUCGGGCGGGUAAUUCGAGUAUCGGGCAUUUUCGACAAUGUUACCCUCUACUCUAGUACUUACCCUAUUUAUAAGGUACAACAGACUCAACAAAAAAUACAAGGACUAAACUUUCUAGUUUCGAAUACAAACAGUGUCUUGUAACUAUAUAGAGAGUCGAAAUCAUUUGGAUUUCGACUCCUUACAGACUUAUAUCAUUUCAACUCCUCACUAUAUACAUUUUCGACCCUUACAAUCUCCCCCUUAGUGAGAGUAGUCAGAAUUAUGCCAUAAGCUUUAAAGUCUAAAGAAGUACAUUACAAGUCUCCAUAUACCACAAGGUAGUCUUUCAAAUCUCUGCUUUGUCUUCAACUUCAUUCUUCUUGCACUUGUUAAUUCGAACAAGGUGAUUGGUAUACUGAGAAUUCAUACACCUCUCUAAAUCACUUACUUGAGACAAAAAAAAUUCGCCAUCCUCCCAUUCUUGUUCUUCCCUCGAAACAUGACCCUAAGAGGCUGAUGAAUUAUCUCACCAUCUUCAUACUUAUCAAUAUUAAUAUUUCCAUUAAGCAAAGAUUGAGGGACUUUCUAAGGCCUUUUUACCGCUAAAGCAAGCUUAAUAUCCAUGACUGCCAAGUAAUCAUAGUAGUUGUAUAUGAAAACCUUGAUAUGAGCAAUACCAAUGAUGAAAUCAUCCUUGUUGGUUUCAGGUAGCUUUGAAACAUCCAUAUUACUCAAAAUCCUUGUGAUUGUAAUCAAGUCGUUUAAGUUGAUCAGUGGGGAAUCUGCAAUUGAGAACUCACAAGUAACAUUGUUCACUCUUAAGACCACAUAGCGAAAAUUUUGCAGAAGACCUUCGAACAAGUUGUCAUACAUUAUGGUCAUCACCUUCACUAUCUUCACAAGUGACCAUACUUCUUAUAUGCUUUUCCCUAAGAUUGCAUGGAAACGGGUCUUCAUUCUUUUGAACUCAUAUUUAUCAUUGAAAUUUUCAACAGUAUUAAACCGACAGGAUGUGAAUAACAUGUGGUUGAUCGAGAAAUCACGUUGAUUGAAAUCAGAAUUCUCAAUAUCAUAAUUCUUCUAAGGCACCUUAUGAAAGUAAUCAUUCAACCCAAUCAAAACAAUAUCCUCAAUCGUUUCAUAACCCCACUGCUUGUUGGGAUCACACUUGUUCAAGCCAGGUGGGUCAUUUUGCCGUCGCCUCAUGAUAUUGUUAUCUACCUUUGCUUCUCGAUUUCAAGAGCUUGUUGCUUUUUUUUCUUCUUCAGAUAAAUCAACAGAAAUAGCUUUUCCUUUAUUAUUCUGAUCAUCAUUUCUCGAUUUCAAGAGCUUGUUGCUUUUUUUUCUUCUUCAGAUAAAACAACAGAAAUAGCUUUUCCUUUAUUACUCUUAUCAUCAUUUGAAGUACUGAACUUGAACUCGAAUCUCCAGCUCCUUUGUUUAUUGAGAUCCAUUUUACCAAUGCUCUUGUAGUUGUUGUUGUUGUAGAAGUUGUGGUCAAUUAUAUGGGAAGUGAAGACCUUUCGACAACAGCAGCAACCACGACGUCGACCUUGCUCUUCUGAUUUCUAAAUUGUUGUGAGGUCGUCCAGAGGUUCUCGUUGGUCCUUGCUACCGCCAACAACAAAGGUUCACCGGUGGUAUUGGCUGACCGGAAUCUCUUAUGUUAUCGUACUUACAAAUUUUUCAUAUGGUCUUACAAAACAUUGAAUCUGAGGAAUUUAGAUUCCGUCCAUUACACAUACACUAUGGAAUUGAAUCUCACAUUCCAAUUAUGACCGAUGAACCAAACACAUCCUAAGGUUUUGAAUCAAAUUCCUUACCGUUGGAAUCCAUCAAACAUGGAAUUUAAAGGAAUAUGACAAAAAUGAAUUCCAACCAUUUGAUACUGGAAUGGAAUCUCAAAUUCCAAUUCCAUCAGAUGAAUCAAACAUGCCCUAAGUCAAAUUUCUGCCCCUAACAUUGGAUGACAUGUGCAAUAAAAAGAAGGGGAAUUGCAUUAAACAAGACUCGUCCAAGGGAACCGGCCACAAUCAAAGCAGAACUGGGUAUCGACAAUCAACAAUGUCAUCCAAUCCACCAAUAAAAAAAAACACAAACUUAUAACUCCUAAAAAAUAAAGAAAAAUAUCAUUAGAUACAAUAAAUUAAACAUAUGUAACAUCAUCAAUCAUGUAUUUAGGUAGUGUUUGAUAUCAUGAAACUUGAGCAGGAAAGCAAUCCAAUAAAUAAAUAACUGCCUAUUGUCUGAUAGAAUGGAAUCGAAUGUUCUACUCAGAUGAACAUGGUUUAAAAUCAAACAUAAAACAAAACAAUUGAUUCUUGCCAUGAUGAUGAACUGUAUGAAUCUCAAACAAAAAAUCAUUCACUCCUGAAACCCAAAGUAAGAUAUCAAAUUGAACCCAUAAAAAAUCUAUAAACAUAAACAUUCCAAAUACAAACCCCGAAAGUCAAGAAAUUCUAAGCUUUUGAUGUAAAACAAUAAUCUGCAGCUCGAUGUUCUUUGUCUUCCAUCAAAAAAGACGUACAUGGAUUAAAAUCCCUCAUCAAGGAAACGAGAGUAUCUCGGGUUCAGUAUUUAGAUUCAAUGAUGGUGAAGAGUGACGGAUGGUUAUUGUGGUUAAGGAGGGUGGUGUUGGUGGUGUAUCAUUUUCGAGCAUGCACAUCACAACAAUAAGAACAUCAGCCAAUUUAAGUUUUUUGGACUGAAAUGUUGUAAAUAUUUGUAACAUAAACCACAGACAAUUAAAACAAACCCACUCAACCGGAUUCAAAUGUUUAACAACACUAUAUAACCAAGUCCAAUUCAUUGAUACCGACAUAAUUCAUCGAGAAAGAUGAAAUUUUCACAAUAAGCAAACCCUAACACUGAACAUCGAUACAAACCCUAAACCCCCAAAUCUAAGAGCUGGUAAAUUUGGUUACAGCUUUCGUCCCCUCGGAAACGGCGUGCUUUGCCAACUCCCCGGGCAAAACCAAUCUCACCGCCGUCUGAAUUUCCCUGGAUGUGAUCGUCGGCUUCUUGUUGUACCUCGCAAGCUUCGAAGAUUCCUGAGCAAGCUUCUCGAAGAUGUCGUUGAUGAACGAGUUCAUGAUCCCCAUGGCCUUGCUUGAGAUACCGAUGUCAGGGUGAACCUGUUUCAGCACCUUGAAGAUGUAGAUCUUGUAUGUCUCCACACUCUUCUUGUUUCUCUUCUUCUUCUUGUCAACAGCACCGGCGCCGGCCUCCUUGGGGAGCUUCUUCCCGGCCUUUGGCUUCUUCUCAGCAGGGGCUUUCUCAGCUGGUUUCUUCUCCUCCACUGGCUUCUUCUCAGCCGGCUUCUUCUCUGCCUUUGGCGCCAUUGUAGGGAUUUUAGUUUGUAAAGAAAGAGUGAUGUUCUAAAAACAGAGAGAUGAUUGUUGUUCGUUGUGAUAAGGAAUGGAGGGAGAGUUGUGUUUAUAUACGGAAUGUGAGGCGUGAUCUGAUUGGAUGAUUUUUGUUGACGAGGAUCGUGGAUUAUGGCCGUUGAUUUCUUUUGAGUAGUUUCAGCGGACAGGAUUUAGUUUUCUAAAAGUGAGGUUGAUGCUGGUUUUGACGCGGAUCGACGUACUGGACGCUGAUGAAUUUAAGGAAGAGUAAAUUACAAUGUAGGUCCAUGUGUUUUACAUAAUUUAUUUAUUAGGUAUGAGAUUUAUAUAAUGUGUUUUACAUAAUUUAUUUAUUAGGUAUGAGAUUUAUAUAUUAUAUGGGUUUGUUUAAAGUAAUAUUAAAUAAAAAAUUCUAAGUUUGUGUUUAGUUAAGAAAAACUGUUUUUAUUUUUCGUUUUUCGUUUUUAGUUUCUGGUUUUUAUUGGAAAAUUUAGAAAACAUGUUUAGUUAAAACUUAUUCAUUUUUUAUUUUCAAAUUUAGAAAAUUAGAAAACGUGUUUAGAUGUGUAUUUUUCUAUCGGUUUUCAUUUUUAGAAAACGGUAGCGNNNNNNNNNNNNNNNNNNNNNNNNNNNNNNNNNNNNNNNNNNNNNNNNNNNNNNNNNNNNNNNNNNNNNNNNNNNNNNNNNNNNNNNNNNNNNNNNNNNNNNNNNNNNNNNNNNNNNNNUGGUGGUGGCGGCGACAAUUGUGGCAGUGGUGCUGAUGGCGGCGACGGUGGUGGUGUAACGGGGUAGUGAUAGGGUAGUAGUAGUGGUAAUGGUGCUGGUAAUGGUAGGUCAGUGAUUGUGGUAGUGGUGUUGGGUGGUUGUAUGUGUAUGGGUGUGGGUCGGAGGUAGGUGUGGGUUUGAGUUUGUGGGUGUGUGUUUGUAGGAGUUGGUGUGUGUGUUUGUGUGUGUGUGUGUGUUUAUGGAGGUUGGUGUGUGUGUGUUUUUAUGGAGGUUGGUGUGUGUGUGUGGAGGUUGGGUCCAUGAAAAUUUUAGAAAAAAUGGACGAACUAAACGCGUUUUUCAAAAUUCUCAUUUUUUUGAAAUUUUUCCGGAAAACGGGUCAUUUUUCCGCAACAAAACACACCCUAUACAUUUAGGGUUUGGUCAAGUUGUGGAGUUUGGAGGCCAUGGAGGGGUAAAAUUGUAUUUUACCCUCUUGGGGUCUAGUAAAGAGACUUAGCCAACAUCUUUGAGGUUUGUUGAUAUCGAUUCUAAUUAGAGAUAUAUGUAACAUAUGUUAGGCGGAGUCUAGACCGGUAGUUUGGGCAUGGGAUUUACUUGCUUUGCUUCACGAGGCGAGUCUUCUCACUAUACUUACCUGAGUGGUAAUUUAUGCAUGACCGGAGGGUCUUGAUCAUGUUACUGACCGGAAGGUCUUAUUCGUGUUAUUGACCGGAUGGUCUUAUUUGCUUAUUCUGAGUUAUGUGUUGUUAUGCAUAUUGUCUUUGUGACUUAUGUUGUUAUAUUAUUUUUUUUAUAUGUUGAGCUAUGACCGGAGGGUCCGUACCGAGAUGUGAGACCGGAGGGUCUUCGCUGAGACACAUGACCGAAGGGUUCGUAUCGAGAUAUAGACAUAAGAGGCUAAUUAUUGUAUAUGUGGUAUCUUAGUGACUCAUUAAGCUUCGUGGUUACAGUGUCCGUGGUUCCAUAUGUAAGCACCUAAUCUCAGGGAUUAAGGCAUUUUUUUCAGGAUCCAACCCUUCAAGACGAAAACCUGGCCUCCAUGGAUGAUUAGGAUCCAGUUUACGUGCUUGAGUACCUAGUUUUUGGUUUUUGGUUUUUGGUUUUUGGUGGAGCUUGAGGAAGAAGAAAUAUCAUUUUGGUGCAAAGGACCAGCUUGGAAUCACCAUCUCCUUCAGAUUUAUGAGUUGUGUGAGGUAUAAAGCUCCCAUCUUGACCUUUGUUCUUCUUGAUGCUACUUUAAAUUGGUUUUGUAUGAUUUUGGUCCCUUUAUUGGAAGAUCUUGGAGCCUGAAGAACUCCAGAUCUUGUGAUGGAUUUCUAAGGUCUUUAGGAUUAUGAUGAAUAAUAAAAAGAUUCAUGGUUGGAGUUACUUUGUGUCCAUGUUCGAGGUUUGGCCUCGUUUAGGACUUAAUGGAUUUAGAACUGUAGUUCUUGCCUUGUGGUGGAUAAAGUUGAAAACUUUAUCCAUUAAGUCAUUGAAAAAUGACUAGAUCUAAAGUUAUGGGUUUAGAUCAGGAAGGAUUAAGCUCUUAAUGAAUAAUAUGGCCUUCUUCCGGGAACCACAACGUGGCAAAGGGCAUUUCACAUCGCAGUGGAGUCAUACACGUCAACUGUUUUAUCCUAUUAUGCCUAUGACGUGGACAUGAGGUCUCUACGUCAUGAUGACUAUUUCUCCAUACCGUGGUGAGUGUCUCUCCACGCCGUGGUGAGUGUUGACUUGUUUGACCGUUGAUUGUUGACUUUUAACCAGUUUGAUUUAGGUAAAAAUUAAAGGUAUUGGGCUAUUGAUUAAGGAUCUAUCUUUUUUUGGUGCUAGUUGGUUCAUGGGACCAAUCAGUGCAAGGAAUAAGUGUGUUGUUGAGUUCCUUGGGUUUUCAAUUCACAUAGGAUAACUUCAUAAUUGGUUGGUUAUAUCUCUAGAGUGGGAUUACCUGUUCGAAUGACUAUCUUACCUCUUAUUACAUAUAGUUAUACAUUCCUUGGAGAUUUGUCGGUUGUGGCGUAGUGGUUUUUAUGACACACUAUAUGCGGUAGUGGAUUGUUAGACAUGUAGACUAGUGUAGAUAGUUUCAUGUGUGUAUGUGUUUGUUUAAUUGCUUUUUUGAUCUAUAUGUUACAUAUCGGGUGGUGGGUUGAGGGCUUGAGGCGAUCCCGCUUUAUGCAGUAUGCUGGGAUACCCGGACAAGCUAGUGGUGUGUUGUAGGUCGGGUGCAAACCAGUUGUAUGUUGUAGGUGUGGGAGGGGGACCAAUCGUGGAGUGGAGGCCCAUAAGAGUAGUCCAGGUGUAUUGUAGGCCUCGCGAGGCGGUCCAGUAAGACUGAAGGAUCGUGUGUGUAUGUAUUAUAUGUGUAUUGCGGUGUGUGGUAUUUUGGGGGAACUCACUAAGCUUUGAGUAACAGUUGUGGAUUAAAUGUUUUUAGGUACCAUUGGUGAUCGUGGGAAGGCGAAGACGUGACUGUACACUCAUCAACAACAUUGGAGAUUCCUUAUUUAUUACAUUACUCUGAUUUUCAAACAAAAAAUUGUAUUUUAGAACAGCUGAGUUUUCUUAACCAAGGUUUUAUGAAAAUGAUGUUUUACCUUAAUUAAAAAUGGGAAAACAUUGUUUGUGAAAAUAUGACAUUACAUUUUCAUGAACAAAGGAGCACCAAAUGGGGUCUGGAACAGUCGUCAAAAAACCAACGUUCACGGCGGUGCGUGGCCUACCGACGGCGUGUGAGGGCUAUUUUGGCCCUCAUUUGGGGUUGUUCUCGUCGACGGGAGGUGUUGUUGGAUAUUGGGAAUAUUGGGGGUGGUGUAGGGUUGCAUUUUGGUGGGGGAACGGGGCUUCCACAAUUGUGUUCGACAGCCCUUUUUCUUCGUCGGCAAGGAUACCAGAGAGAGAGAGAGAGAGAGAGGACUAGAAAAAAAGGGGAUUAGAGAGAGGAUGGGUUAGAUAUUGAAUGAAUAAAAAUCAUAUUUUAGGAAGAGUUAAUAGAGAUUUUUGGAGAUUUUGGAGUACAUCUCCAUGAUAUUCCAUGAUUCAUCAUGAUGUCAUCAGUCGUUGCCUUGAGUCUCGUGCCACUCAUCCGAACUCAUUUUCCAAAAGUGUUUUUAGAUUUUAUCAAAUUUGUUGAGUUUAGAAAUUCAAACAAAAUUCAAAUCUGAUACAUGGAACUAUGUGAAAACAACGUUUAAAGUUUCGCGCUUAUAAAGUUCCAAUCUGACUGUUUUCGUGAGUUUGCCUAACUCCAGAUUAAAAAUAUCACAACAAUGAAUUUAUAUAUUUGACCUAAUUUUGAGUUCAAAAACACGCUCGAAAACUAUUUACGAAAUGUGUAGCUAUCCCAACGAAGCAAUACAAUGUUCUAUUCCGAAAAAACCAGUUAAAUACUGAUUUUUCAACCUUAAAAAUGUCUUGACUACUUCGUAUGAACUAUGUUUUCGACAUUCUAUAUAUUCAUGUGGUCGUGAUAACAUAAUCUCUCCAAUCUACUGAUUAAUUGUUCCUAAGUACACUUUAUUUUUAGGUCAUUAACAAUACUUAUCUUUGUGAAUUGUUUUCUGUUUAAUAAUGAUUGUCAACUUUUUGAGCGAUUUGAACUUGAAGUAUUCCAUGCACAAUUAUGAGUAAUAUAACUUCCACUCCAUCCAAAAACAUAGAACACCAUACAAUAUGUCCUAUUAUACUAGAGUUUGUGGUGGUUUGAUCGACGAACUUUACAUUUUUUUACCAAUUGUUACACACGGGUUCAUAUUCACGACUAUUACAACUUUCAUAUAGAUUAUUUAUUCAAAAUAAUAUUUUAACUAUCAACGUUAUUCAACACAAUUUGAUAAGUUUAUAAUAGGGUUUUAUACAAAUAUUAUAUAAUCAUAAUAUUUAUCCAUAUAACUUGUACGUAUUAUAUACAUAUAUACAAAUAACAUUUAUACAAACAUAUAUCAUGUACAACGAAUUAUUAUUUAUUUAUUUAAAAGAAAUUUUAUGUUAUUAGCUUACAUAAAUAAUGUCCUACGAAAUGUUUAUCAAAAAAAUGUGGGCGUUACACCAUACCUCAUAUAUUUUCCAAACUUAUAAAGUUUCUCUACAAUGUUUGGAGCGUAGGCAACUCUCCAGUGGGAAACCAUCUCAGCUUGAUGGUAAAACCUAUCCAUAAAGUAAAUUUCAAUUUCCUCUAGCAUUGUAGGAAGUGGUUUUCUCGUCAUAUUAAUGAUCAUGGCAUUAAAGCACUAUGAUAUACCAUUCUCUAUUGCCUCACAAGGGAGGAUCAACUAGUUAUGGGGCUCUAAGCAAACCAAAAUUUUAGGACCCUUUGACAUUUACUAUACUUAAUGUUAUAAACCCUCAUCUUUUAUCUGGGCUUAGGAUCGACAAUAAUAAACUAAAAAGAUUAUACCGGUUGUCUUGAGAUUUGAGAAUAGAACUAGAAGAUAAAUGGAAAGCUCAAAUCUAGAAAACUGAAAACUCAAAUGCUGAAAUUCGUUCCAACCCGAUUCACUCACUGAUUGUAUAUUUUGUAAAUGUAAUAUGUUGUAAUCAAUGAAAAAUGUCAAUGGAAUAAAAAAUCACAUAACUAAAAAAAUAAAAACUGAAAAGUUAUAAGUAUUAACCUUAAUCAAGUAAUCAGAUGACAACAAAUAAUGGAAAAAUUAAAAACAAAAAGUCAAACAAAUUCCACAUACCGAUUCAGUGACAGCCUUGAAUCACCAGAAUUCAGAAAAUUUUGAACAAUGGAGUUAUCAAAACUUGUGGAGAAGCCAAGAAUGGAUAAGGAAAAGUGUUUCGGUGGUUCAGAUGUUCAAGAAUCGACAAGAAGAAGAGCAUAAUCGCUAAUCAGAGUCCGAUAAUUUUGUGCAGCCCCUGAGAAGAAGAGAACAGUGAUCGUCGCUUGUAGAAGAAGACUAAACAGAUUGUGAGGCGUGUGCAGCGAGCAACGAUUCAAUAGAUAUAGAUUGGAUUGGAUAUUUGGGUUAAGUGGGGCCUCUAUAAGUUGUGUCCCUAAGCCCUAACUUUAUUUAUAAACACAUAAAGUCAACCUUGUUGCCUUAAAAUCAUACCCAUGAGAAAAGAAUGUUUUACACCAAGAAUGUGGAUUAGACAUGAUCCGGUCAUAGCCAGUUUGAGUUAUGUGCUUGAUUUUCUCCAUUAUAGCUAUAAAUUCCCCCUCGACAAUACGGUUGGCAGCUUUCCAAAACAAGUUAUUUAGUUCUAAUCCACUAUAUCUCUUCCCGAAGUUUACAAUGAUGUGUGUAACACAUUGUUUGUGCUUAACAUGUGGAAGUAGUUCUAUAACAGCUUGUAAUAAACGAUGAAAUAUAAAAGGACAAUUAGAUUAUAAAUGCAUACUAAUUACAUUAAGGAUACAUUAAUAUUUACCUUGUGUUGGUAUGAAAAAGUAACAAGACCCCUACCACCACCAAUAUCCAAAUCAACAACUAAAAGUUCAAUAAACCAAGCCCAAUUAUCUUUGUUCUUGACAUCAAUCAUUACCUAUGCUAUUGGAUAUACAUGGUUGUUUGCAUCUCUUUAAAUAUUAGUCAAAAGCUCUCACAUGAUCUGUGUCCCUUGAAGAAACACCCAUCCAAACAUAUUACACGUAUACAACUCAUAUUCCAACCAUCCCUAAAAUCCUUCAAACACACAUAAAACAUUUGGAAAUAGUUCAUGACACUUGUAUUAACUUAUACUCCAACCUUGGAAGUGCUCAUUGGGUUAACCUAAGGAUUUAUGCAACAUAAUCUCAUACCCUUGCAUACUGUUCCUUUAACCUACCUUAUGUCACAUUUCUUGCCUUUCUCAUAUCCAUUUAACAUUUCCUCCUUAUAUACUUGGACUGAAAACCUUAUACGUACAUCUCCAUUCAUCUCAUUCAAUGUCAUAUUAGGCUUCCUAAUUAUAUCCUUCAGGUGAACAGUUGCAACUAACGAAACAUCAAAACUUAUAAUUCCUAGCGCAUUGAUGUAUGUAACAUAUGGAUUUAAUUUGAAUAUGUUUUAAAGGUCUUUGGUGCAAAAUCCCAAAAGGAGAAGUCUACAAGAUCAUCAUCGAAGGCCUCGUCCCUUACAUAAAAAAUUUCCGGCCUUUUGACUUUUUUAGCCCAGACGACAAAGCCAUUUGUUUAAGAUGAAAAUCAGAGGUGUUAGUGACACUAUGGAACUCGAUUAUGGAAGGUAACAACACAAAAUACAUCAAUUUCUCAUUAUCAUCCAUGCACUUUCCUAGUUCCAUGUAUUUCAACUUCAAAAUGGAAGCUUUUGAAUGCAACAAUGGUGUUAGAAACCAUUUUCAAAACCCUUUCCUUCCAAGACCAACUGUGUGAGGUCCUUUUUUAUGCAGACAUUUCUACUAAAAUAUGAUGUUGGAAAGUAUGGAGCGUAUUUUGGAAAGGAUUGUGUUGCAUAACAAUGGUGACUGAUGAGGAGUUUAACGUGUUCUUAACCGCCUAAGGAUUUGAUUUUGAAACAUCAUCUCAAUUAUUAUGGCUAAUUAGAAACGAAAAAUCCAUUUAGGACUAACUUAUAAUCGGAAUGUAAAACUUAUAACUUUUAUGAUAAUAACCAAACUUUGAAAUGCUAAAGACUUACCCUUUGGGACUAGAUUUAUGCAUUUUAAACUCAACGACAGGAUUAAAAUUGUGAUUACCUGAUGUGCGAAUUGUUGCUGUUCUUGCUCCACUAAUUAAAGGCCAUUAACGAAUUGGAUGAGUGAAUAGGUCCAAUGUCAUGUUGUCUCUUUGUAUAAUCAGCGAGAAGAUGCAAUUUAAAAAACGGAAAUGGAUCAAUCAAUAGUAUUUGACCAUUAAUGUGUGCACACUGCAUAACCAUCAUUUGUGUCCAUUGCGUAUAAUCCAUAGCAAAUCCUACUGCAGAUCUGGAAGAUGUCUCCAUGGAUUUUAUUACGCAUCAUCGUCUUCAAGACAAGGUGUAGUAAAUGGCUAUGGUCUAACCAGUUUUACCACUUCAAUGCGAUACUGCUUCAAUAUAUGCGUUAUUGUCGCAAAAACAGAGGAUAAUGAAUACUUACAGUGAAAACAAAUCAAAUUUUGGAAUCGGAUACAAUUAAAAAAAAAAACUUUUGGAUUCGAUCUGUGGGUUUAAAGAAAUGCAAUUGGUAAAAAAAACACAUGUGUUAGAUACGAAAUAAUGCACAAAUUUGAUCAAAAUCCGUACGUUUAAUUUCAAUACGAGCUCUUACAUGACAAAGUUGAAACAUUUUUAAGUCGAUCUGUCUUUACAAUGAGUAAAAUAAAACCCUAAACCCAAAAUCUAAGAACUGGUAAAUUUUGUUACAGCCUUCGUCCCCUCAGAAACAGCAUGCUUUGCCAACUCUCCGGGCAAAACCAACCUCACAGCGGUCUGAAUUUCUCUGGAAGUGAUCGUGGGCUUCUUGUUGUACCUCGCAAGUUUCGAAGAUUCCUGAGCAAGCUUCUCGAAGAUGUCGUUGAUGAACGAGUUCAUAAUCCCCAUGGCCUUGCUUGAGAUACCGAUGUCAGGAUGAACCUGCUUCAAAACCUUGAAGAUGUAGAUCUUGUAUGUCUCCACGUUCUUCUUGCUUCUCUUCUUCUUCUUAUCGGUGGCACCGGCGCCGGCUUCCUUGGGAAGCUUCUUUCCGGCCUUUGGCUUUUUCUCGGCAGGGGAUUUUUCAGCUACGGCGGCUUUCUUCUCCUCCGCUGGCUUCUUCUCGGCUGGCUUCUUCUCUGCUUUGGGCGCCAUUGAAGGGAUUUUGUUUUGUAAAGAGGGAAUUUGAUGUUUAAAGAGAAAGAGAGAGAUGGUUGAAACGUGAGAUGAUGAAAAUGAAGGAAGAAUUUGUUGUGUUUAUAUGAGGAUUGAGAGGCGUUGUCUGAUUGGUUGAUUUUAGAUGUCCCGGAUUGUGCAUAGAGACCGUUGAUAUGUUCUGGUCCAUGGUUUUGCUUCAAGGGACGUGAUUUAAUUUGAGAAGUGAGUUUUUGUUGGCUUGACGCACGACGCGGAUCAACAUUUUGGCCCAUAUCCUAUUUUUCUUUAAUUUUUUUUAGGAAAUUACAAUAUAUUUAUUUAUACUGUAUUAUAAAAUAAAUUUGCUUUUUUAAAAUAGAUUAAAUAUAUCCAUACCCGACCCUUUUAAAUAAAGGGUUAGCGGAUACGGGUCGUUAACGGGUAAACGGAUCAAAUAAAAAAUUAUGCUCCAAACUCGUAUAAUUGAUAAGGGUUUGGAUUGAAUCAGGAUCAAAAUCCGCUCCGUUGUCAGACCUAUGUGUUUGACUUGUCGGAUGGUCAAGGCCAACCACCAGAGGUCGCAUGGCAAGCUGCAGUCAUUGGAGGUUCUCAUGUGGAAAUGGAAACAUAUCACUAUGGAUUUCAUCACCAAGUUACCUCGAACGGCUAAUGGAUUCGACGCGAUAUGGUUUAUCGUUGACCGUGUGACCAAUAGCACUCGCUUUUUGUCCAUUCGAGAAAGUUUUGCGGCCGAAAAAAUAGUCGGUUUGUAUGUGCGCGAUAUUGUUGCUUGACAUGGUAUUCUAGUCUCCAUUGUAUCUGAUCGAGAUGUUCGGUUCACAUCUCGUUUUUGGAAGAAGUUCCACCAUGAACUGGGUACGCGAUUGCAUCUUAGCAUUGAGUAUCAUCCGCAAACUGAUCGAGAUGUUCGGUUCACAAUAAUCCAGUCAUACAUAACCUACAUAUUAGAACCAAAAUUGAUUAAUACAAUAAAUUUCAAUAGAUCGCUCAAGCUAACAAUCGAAACAACAAAGAAACAAAACAUAAUAGAUUAUGAUGACACCAACGAAUGUUGCACCAUACUAAACUGAAGAACUGAUAACUGAAACCCCCAAUUUGGGAAAUCCAUAUGUCUCAUACCGUCCAUCCAAAAACUGCCAAGCCAAAGGUGCCACAUCCAAAACCGCACUAUCUGCUCCUAACGGACAAGCAGAAUCAACAUGUUCUGGCUGACUGCAAAAUAAACAUACAUUCGACUUCCCCGACUAUAAUCGCGAUUAAAAUGACCCUCAUGAUCGCGCCUAAAACAUGCAGAAACAAAAACGCAUCAAAUAUCCCAAUGAAUCUGACCACACUCCCCAUACAACCUGUGGGUCUCUCGAUCUCCUGCCCGAAAGCCCGCCACCCCAGCCUUUUUGGUUGUCGUUGCAAAUGCAUGAACUUGAUCCUGCUUUCUCUUCUGUUGCUGAAUCUCCAACUACAACUCUCUCUCCCAGGCCGCCUCCACCAAACUAGAGAGAGUCUUAUGACUCGAGAUACACACACGUUCCCAAAUUGAGAUUUUAAUCAUCUUUAGUCAAGGAUAAGAAAUUAUAGUUUAUUUCAAUUCUAAAAGCUUAGAUUGAGAUUUUAAUCAUCUUUAGUCAAGGAUAUAUAUAUAUAUANNNNNNNNNNNNNNNNNNNNNNNNNNNNNNNNNNNNNNNNNNNNNNNNNNNNNNNNNNAUGAAUUUUAUGUUAGAAUGGCUCAACAUAAGGAAAUUCCAUAAAUAUUACGUUCUCAAAAUUCGAUUAUGAUUACGGCAUCCCUCUUCAUAGUCAAAUUAUGAAAACAUGGAAAAUAAAAAAAAAUAUUGUAGCAGAAGACUGGUCUAGGAUCAUGUCUUCAUGUGAGACAUCAUGAAUCGUGCCCCAUAUGCUUCGGAUAUAGGAUCGAUUACAUGUGCUAUAAUAUUUAUACCUUCUAAAUUUUCCAAAUGCCUAUGGCAUUAAGAGGGGCAAAGGUCUAGAAUUGGAUAUGACUAAAAUGAUUAAGCAAUUGUUGAGGAUAAUCUGAGGUUUACCAGAGAUUGGUUGCUCAUGGACAGUUGGAAGUAUGGUGUUAAAUUUUGGAGAGGAACCAUAUUGACAUGUUCUGAAAAGAGGCGACUCUUGUUUAGAAGUGAUAGUCAAAACGGGAAUAUGGAAAUGUUUUUCCAUAUUGGGAGUUGGAUAUUAAGAAACUAUGAGAAAGUUAGAAACUUUAAUUAAAGAAGGAUGUUCAAAGGAAUGUACUUUGAACUUGAGAUUUCGUCACCUUGGAAUUGUCGUGUAACAAUUUCCAGUUGAAUCUAUUGUAAUAGUGUUGGUCAAGUCUUUGUGACUCUUGGUGCCUAGACAUUACAUAACAAUAUUGCAUAAUAGUGUAUAAUCUAACACAUUUGAGCAGUGAUAAGAGUUUGGAAUUCUUACACUUACAAUAAAGAUUUGGUAUUGUGAAAUGAGCAUCAUUGGAAUCAUGUUCAAUUGAUAUAUUUCACAAAGUAAGGAUCGUAGACAAACAUAGUGUGCAUACUUGGAGUAUGGCAUAACUAUCGUUUACGAAAACAUGGUGUACAUGCUUGGAGCAUGGGACAACUGUUGUUUUAAUUCAAGUAUUAAGUUGAUUAUUUGAAACAUUAUGCAAUGAAUAAUGUGUAAUCAAUAUGGUGAUAAAUAAAAGGUGUUCUAUUUAUAUUCAUAAGUUUUGAGACCACAUUAGAUUCGAUUAUUCUUAUGUUUCCCUUUCAAUGUUUUGACUUCCAUAAUAGUUGGGUUAUUCUUUCCGGAUGACCAAGUUAUUUAAAUCCUCCACAGUCAGUCAUAUGUUGGAAGUAGGUAUGAAUCAAGAUUGUAAUGAAUUGGGCUUGUAGAUGUCUAAGAUGUUAGACAUAGUAAAAGUUGCUACAACAUUCAUGAGUGCUCAUAAGUUAUGAGUAUUGUAUUAAACCCACAAUCACUUGUAUCACUUCAUAGAAUUUAUCUCAAGUGACUGUAAGACGGUAAUAUCAUAUAAGUCUUCAAAACUAGAGAUACAAGUUGUUGCUUAUGAGUUGGUUGUACAUUGAUUGCGCGAAAACACAUCAUUAACUUGAUGUUAUAAAAUGUGUCUUUUGUAUAAAUAAACAAGUAGUAGAGCAAACAUAUGAGUCGAAGUUUAUCUGUUCCUUUUAGUCCUUGGAGGAUUAGAAGCGAUAUAUGGGCCCCUCGAUGAUUUUGUUUUGACCUAUGUAUCGGGCCCGGUCAGAACCAAAUUGAUGUGUUCAGUUUAGGUCUAUGUCAAACAAAUCGGAAAUCAGGAAACAAACUGCUGGACAAUAAGUAUGACGUUGUUCCAUGUAUUUGUCCGGCUGAUAUCUAGAACAGAGGAUUAUAUGAUCACUUAUCUAAAACGGCGCUUCGUAGUUCAAGAAAGUUUUAAGAGCUACGAUUCAUGGUCGGAUCCUGAAGUCAUGCUUGCAACCGUAGUUAUUAAAUUUAUCCAAGUGGGAGACUGUUGGAUAAAGUGUCUAAGUCCAUAACUAUAUUUGAGAUGUACUUGACCGACCCAACAUGGUCCAUUUGGGUUGCACUUCACCAUAACAAUUUGGAUAGUCUUUUGAGAAUAGUAUAGUUAUGAUUUGUUAAUAUAUUAUAAGUUAUAAUAUAUUAAUAUGAAAUCAUAUUAUUUAAUUAGUAUUGAUCUAUAAUUAAUUUGGAAUUAAUCUAGUGAUCAAAAGGUAACUAAUUAAAUAUGGACUCUUAUAUUUAUAUAAAGUGGGUUAAUGCUUGUUUAGAAUGGGUUAAGCUUGCUUGGAAAGUCCAUGGAUAGUCCAUGGAGCUUUAACCCAUGGAUCUUAUGGAAAUGAAAGGUCAUGGGUAUUAGGGUUUACAUGGAUGUAACCCUAAUCCACCACACUAUAUAAAUAGGUCCUUGGCACAUGAAAUGACACUAGUGUAACGCCCGUGUUUCUGGGCUUGCCAUUUUUAGCAAUGUAAUAGUCUAGUUAACCUUUGUAACCUAAUUUGAAAUAAUAAGAACAUAUCAUUUGAGUAUUAUGUGUUUCGUGCUUAAUUGCUUAAUUAUGUGAUAUGAUGAAUUAAGAAUAAAAUGAGCGUCAGAAUUUAAGUGUAAAAUAAACUUGAUAUCAUUGGAUAAUGUUGUAGUAGUUGAAACGAGGUUUCCGAAUAUAUAUAGAACUCCCAAAUCUGACUUCGUAUGAGGAAGUUAUGAUUUUCUGAAGUUUCGAUUGGGCAGUAUGCAGCUUGAAUACUCGAUUUGAGAUCGAGCGGUUUUUAGCCGAAACAAUCUAAACGAGAAUCGAAGAUCUCGUUGUUAGUAGCGAAACGAUGAAAAGUUAGGCAAGAACGGACGUCGGACGAAGAAGUUAUGAAUUUAUAACAAAGUUUUUCUGUCCCGGCCUACUAAAAAUAAAUAAUAAAAAUAAAGUCAAAAUUAGCCGACGGAGUCUAAACAAAAGUUGUAGAGCGUAGUCUCACCUACGCGUGGAUAUAAAGAACGUCGAAAAUGGAGUUCGUAUGAGGGAGAUAUGAAUUUUCAAAGUUUAUUAGAUAUUUAAUAUUUAAUUUUAAUUCAAACUUCCGAUAUUAUCCGAAGAGGAGUCAGCGGACUCAUCCGAAGUACGCCCAGCGUGACGAAGUCUAGCACUCGAGUACCUCCGAUGAUGCAGGCAAUGACGAUUUGGCAGUACGCCCCGCGUACCCCGAAGUUAUGCCCAGCGUAACCCCGAGGAUCAACCCUAUAAAAGGGGAUGCGAAGCCAGCUUCUUUCCUUUUCAAAUUUCUUCAUUUUUCUCUCAUCUUUUGCCUCGUUUUGCGUGUCGUUUAUGUUGGGUUUUGAGCAUUCUAACACUCCUAAGUGUACAUGCAACCCUAAAUACCUUGGAUCUAUGUUUUAUCUAUUAUACAUGCAAAUAUGAACAUCCAAGGUAUUAUCCUAAUCUAAGCUAUAAAACAUUGAAUAUAACAAGAUAGAAUACAUACCUAUUUGAUGUAGAAUGUCUUCAUGAAGCUUGAGUGCCUAGUGCCCCAAGUGUGACACCUCAAAUGGUUCACACAACACCGAAUACAAAUGGAAUGACUUGAGAGAACUUCACACUUCAUGAAAAUCGGCUAGCCCUUUCUUGCUCUCACUAGUGGCCGGUUUUGUCAAGAAUAAGAUAUUUAUAUAGAGUUACAAUUAGGGUAAACCCUAAUUGUCAUGACUUUCCAUUUCCUUGGAUCCAUGGGUACAAAUACACCAUGGAGCAUCCAUGGACCAUCCUAUGGGUUUUAGCCCAACUUGAUUAUCCAUGGAGCAUUAGCCCACUAUACAAGUAUGGAUGAUUUACACAAUCAACCCAUAUAUUUAAUUAGUCUUCUUUUGAUCACUUAAUUAAUCCUAGAUUAAUUCUUGAUCAAUACUAAUUAAAUAAUCUUAUUAUUCUUAUUAUUAAUAUACUAGAACUUAUAAUAUAUUAAUAACCAUAAGUGUAUUAUUUCUCCCAUUAUAGUCUAUCCAAGUGCAUGAUGCCAUGCAACCCAAAUGGACCAUGCCGGGUUGGCUCAAGUCUUACCAAUUAUAGUUAUGGACUUAGACAUUAAUCCAACAAUUUAUACCCCGAAGCCCCGAUAAUAUUCCCGAGCCCCGAAGCAAGAUCCGAAGCCCUGAGAAUCCCAAAGAGCGUUAUUCCCGAGCCGAAGCCCUGCCCGCGAGGAGCCCGGUUUUUGUGAAGAUCUUCCAGAUCUACGGAGAAACAUUACUUCUGCAAGCCGUAGUGCUGCCCGUUCAUCUUCUGAUCAAGUGAGUGUGUAGUCAUUUUCUUCCAUCACAAUAUUAUGAAGUAUUUUAUAUAAAAUACGUGCUACGUGUAUAUAUUUUGUUGUUAUAUGUGUGAAUGUAUAUUCACUUUCUUCUAUCUCAUAGAUCUGAUUUAUUAUCUAUGAAAUACGUGUUAUGUGUGUAUGCUUCAUCUGUUAUGUGGAAUAUGUAUUGAUUAAAGCAUGUUAUACAGGUUCUUAAACUAUGUAUAAAAAUGUAUAUUUUUAUCUACUAAUGUGUUGGGUAGAACAUGGGUAGAUAGUUGGUGUGUAAUAAACAGAUGAGAGGCCUCGAUGUUGUUGGUGUUAUUCUAGUCAUUCAGUAGAGUAUGGAUGACGAUCACGGACUAUUCUAGACUGUCCUGUGGAACACUAGCAGACUCAUAACCUGUAGGUGUUGUGAACGACGUGUUCACCGGUGUGCUCUAUCCCCCUCAUGGUUGCCUUUAGGAUAUUUAUUGCUAAGGAAUCCCCUUUGCAGUAAUGUCCGUCCCGAUGAAAAAUCCUAGAUUAGGUCCCUUAUAAUAGAUGUUGUUUUAGGGACGUAAAGUGAGGAUAACGGGAAUGGGUAAUCAGGUUUAUUGUUGAUUGUUAAAUUAAAUAUUUUUUGUGGGUUGAAAACCCUAUAUGCUCACCAGGCUCCCAAGCCUGACCCACUCAGCUUAUUUGUAUUACAGGAAGUGGCGCAAGAGCUUAAGAUGGACGAAUCAUCAAGUUGUUUUGUUUACAAGUCUGUAUAUGUAUACAUUGUUGAAUGACUUGUAAUGUUAUCGUUUAUGCUUUAUGAUUUGUAUCGGAACAUGACAUCCCGACUCUUGAUUAUGAAAUGAAAUCAUAUUCCUUGUGAAAUGUUUGGAUAAAUAUCUAUUUUAUCAUGUUUUGUUUUUGGGAACAAAUUCCGCAUCUCUUUCAAAAUUAAAAAGGAUUUACUCUGAAAAUGUUUAAAAAACAUAAAUGAAAUUGGUCUUUUUUGGCCGAGAUUUUGGAGAUGUCACAACUAGUGUGUGAGAAAAACCAAUGGUGGGCCGAUUUCUAAGUGUGCAUACUAUUCUAUCAAGUUUUCCAAGUUGUGUAGUGAUUUGUGAUUCCAUUUGAGGCAUCCACAUUAUUGGUGUUAGGAUCUCAAAACUCCAAGCAAUCAACCACAAGAAAAUGUAUGUUAUUCUACUAGUCUUUUAUGCUACAAGUACCCCUUGUCAUGUUAGUUAGGAUGAGAACUUUGGAAAAUUCUUAUUUGCAUGUAUUUUAGAAAAAAUAUAGAUUCAAGUUUUCUAGGGUUGCAUGUACAUCAUAGGAGUGUUAGAAUACUCAAAACCCAUGAUGUACAUCGUAAGUCCUGUAGUUAUAACCAGAGUCUCCUGGAGGGAGAGCGAGAUAUUAUGUAUAGAUCUAUACGGGGUUGACAUCCCCCACGCCUGAGUUGUUCGCUACAACUAGGCAGGCCAAUUUAGGGUGACAAUUAUCUUUAGAAACUGACGCCUGAAGAACGUCAAGACAGGCGCUCUCGUCACAUUAGUAUGGUUUCAACAACUCACAUAGAGAAUAACAAUAUUAUUUUAAAAUUUACACAAAACAUACACUCAACAUGUUUUACAAAGUAUAAAACUAUGUGCUGACUAUUUUGCAUUAAUCUCACCACUUUGGUCUUAGGGUUUUAAGGCCACAAUAUUUCGUAUAACAGAAAAUAUAGGAUUUUCUGUAGACACUCUCUAUAAAAUUUUCAAACAAGGUAAAGAAAGUAUACACAUGAUUUGGAACAAGACUCUCAAACUAUUAUUACAAAAAAUACUGGAGUUUCUGGAAUUUACAAACUAUUACAAAGUUUUUCUUACAAAAAUGCUUAUGAACUCACCAACAUUUUAUAUGUUGACGCUUUUCAAAAUGACUUGUAUUCUCAGGAACACAGUGAGCAGGUUUUUCAGCAGUGGACAUUGACAUUUGUCUUAUUUUUGGAUUAUCAUACAUUAUGUUAUUUUGGAUGUAUUUCCAUGAACAAACACAAAGAUGUAAACAAUGCAUGUUGAUAUCGUUAAUGUAUGAUGAUGAUGGUUGCUAUGUUUCAUUCAUAUUCAAUUGUUAUGAUAUUACAAGAUGAAGUCACCCGCCCCCGGACGUUGUCGCCGUCCCGGUUCGGGGGUGUGACAUUGUAAAGGAAAACCCUAAUUUUUAGGGGCUGCACCCUAUUUAAAUAACAUAAUCCGCCUCUUGUGGACUCCCUUACCACCCUGAUAGCCAUAGAAAACCCUAAUUAGACCUUGCACCUUCUUGAGUGAGAGAAAGAGCUUUUGUGAGCAUUUUUGGUGUGUUUGUGAAAGAUUUCAAAGCCUGGAGAAGAAGGAGCAAGGAGAGAAGCAAUAGAUCCGACAUCUACACUGUAUUGGCCACCAUCGUGAGGUAUAAAGUCGUUACCUUGAGCUCUAGUUGGUUAGAUCCCUUUUCUUGGAAGUAGAUGGCCAUUUUUGGUGCAAAGUAGGGUCAUACUCGAAUCUGGACUUAUCAAAAGGAUAUGGUUCCAGAUAUGGACCUCUAAAGGUCCCUAAUGACAUAAAGUUGCUCACUUUAUCUGGCUUAGGCCUAUCCAUGCACAAGAACAUUGUAAGAAGCUUAGUUUUGAUGCUUUAGCCUUGUAAGGCCUUGCAUUCACGUAAAGUUUGCAACUUUACGUGGUAACUACACUAGGGAAUAGUGGAUCUGGAGUUUGGGACCUUAGAUCCCAUUGAAAAGGGCUGAACACAAAAGGGACUGAAGGAACUCGUCAAGUCCCUUAGUUGACUCGACGAGUUGGGUAGGGUUUACCCGUUUUUUAGAUUCAGAAUGAGUGCAGUGAAGGAUUAGGGUUUGGGGACUGCAUGAGCUUUUAGUUUAGUGGACAUUUGAUGAACUCAAUGAGUCACUUAGGUGACUCGACGAGUUAACAUAGGAUUUAGUGGAAUGGACUCGGAUGAACUCGACGAGUUGCUAGGAUGCACUCAACGAGUUGAGGUCAACAUGAAUUGUUGACCUUAACCGUUGACCUUGACUUUGACCACGGUUGACUUUAAAAGUAUUUACGGGAUUAUGACAAGUUAAUCAUAUGUUGAUUAUAGGCAGUUGAAGAGGAGGAGUGCGUGAGAUAUAUCUGAUCUUAGCUUGUCAGUUCAGCACUCGAGAGGCGAGUCUCCUCACCAUAUCAAUAGAUCUAAGGCACCAAGGGCGGUCUAUUAUUGUUAUGAGUUAUGAUUAGUUGGUUGUGGGAUAUGUGAUAUGCUAGUUAUUUGUGAUACUCACAUGAAAGACCUCGAGGUGUUCCCAAGGCACUUAUAUGUAAUACCUUAAAGGGUUUCCAUGGCCUUCUAGUAUAUUUGUUUGUGUAGUUUGUAUGUUCGUACUCGAUUGUAAAGACCGUGUGGGGGUUCCUACGAUAGGAAGACCAUGUGGGGGUUCUCAUGGCAGUUAGUUAAGACCAUGUGGGGGUUUCCAUGGCAGUUAGUUAAGACCACGUAGGGAUUCCAGUGGCACUAGGUGUAAGACCCUAGAGGGUUUCCAUGGCUUCCUUAUAUGUUCGUAUUCAUGGCUUAUAUAUGUAGCUUUUAUAGCUAAUAUGAUAUGUGUUAUGUGGAUUGUGUGUGAGGUAUGCUCUCGGGAACUCACUAAGCAUUAGCUUACAGUUUUUGGAUUUGUUUCAGGUACAUCCGAGCCAAAGGGCAAGGGCAAGGCUUGAUGGCGCGACGUGCACUCUCUCUCAGGCGUUAUUAUGGGACACUCUAAUGUUUUGAAAUAAAAUUGUUGUUAUCACGAAUUUGAAAACAAUUGUAUUGGGAUUUCAGGAUUUGUGGAAAGUAUUUUGGUAAAUUAAAAAUGAAAAUUUUCUUUUGAAAAAUUGGGUUGUUACAUAUUACAUAGUUAGUUGAUGUAAACCUGAGCUUAGCAUGGGACUCUUAACACUCUCCCACUUCGUGCUUCAUUUUUUUCCAACGGAUAUAUGGAUCGUAAACCCUAUACUCUACACUCACUUUAACAAUAUUUCCUCCAUCGAUGUGAUCAUGAAAUGAGUCAUGGACACCAUUUUUGUUAUCAACAUUUCCCAUUCCAUAAAAAGUCCUACUUAAUAUAUUUUCAUCAUAUAUUAUGUUAACGACUGGUUCAUUGUAGAGUUUUAAAUAAUUUUUAAAGGUAUCUUGUGUAAAAUCCCCGAAUGAGAAGUCUACAAUAUCAUCAUCAAAGUCCUCGUCCCUUACAUAAAUAUUUUCAGAACCUUUGACUUUUUUAGCCCAAAUGAAAAAAUAAAGGUGUUAGUGACACUACAAAACUCGAUUAUGGAAGGUAACAACAUGCAAACACAUCAAUUUCUCAUUAUCGUCUAUGUACCUUUAUAGUGCAAUGUAUUUCAACUUCAAAAUGGAAGAUUUUACAUGCAACAAUGGUGUUAUAAACCAUUUUCAAAACCCUCGUCUUCCCGAUAUCAACUGCAUGAUGUCCUUUUUAAUGCAAAUGCUUAUGCUAAAAGACAAUGUUGAAGAGUACGAAGCAUAUUUUGAAAAUGAUUGUAGUGUAUAACACUCGUGACCAAUGAGGAGUUUAAUUUGUUCUUAACCGGCUAAGGAUUUGAUCAUCAUCUUAAUUAUUAAGGCUAAUUAGAAACAAAAAAUUCAUUUAUGACUGAUUUCUAAUCGCAAUGUAAAGCUUAUAAUUUUUAAGAAAAAACGGCAAGAUUGGUCUCUCUGGUAUUCAAAAAACAUCAAAAAUGUUUUCCGCUUGUAUAGAAAGUCCAAAAUCAAGAUUUUCAUAUGGUUUUGGUCCCAGUAAAAUUGAAAAGAACAAUUAUGCCCUUUCUAAUUUAUGUUUUCCAUUUUUUAUCUUUAUGUUAAUACUUUUUUAAUUUAAAAAAAAGGGAACCAGCUAACCCACCCAUCUCUCUCUCGUGUGUGUGUGUGUGUUUGUAUCUAAAUGGGUGCUCCUAAAACCAUUAGAACACAUCAAGCUUUUCAUCUCCCUUCCCUCCCUCUCACCAGAAAAACUUUAAUUAUGAGUUAAUAAGAAGCACUUUAAUGGUGUUAUCUAAGUUAUAGAGGAAAUAAAUAUGUGAUUGUUGAUUUGUUUUCUUCUGUUUCGUAUUUGUUCUGGAGUCCGAUAAUCAAAGGCAUCUGUGUGUAUGUCUAUGUUUUAAUCUACUGUAUGUAUGUGUGUGUUAAAUACAGUCGAUUGAUCCCCUUAAUCAGAGGGUGCCUAGUCGAUUUAUCCCAUAAUUUGAACCCUAAAACGCAAUUUCCUCCAAGACUUAUUUGGUUUGUGGGCAAGCUAAAGGGGGUGCUGAGAAGUGAUAUCCAUGAAUGCUUCUGCAAAAACAAUUCCUUCGCCAUUAUAAUCAACCGGAAGAGAAUCUAUGGAACUUUUGAUCACCGAUAUUGGAGAGAUAAAGAAUGUGAUUUGGGGUGGGGUGGGGCUGUUGGGUUUGAUCAAACUUGACUACUUCUGUGAUACUUGAUAACACCCGAUUCCCUUUCAACAACCCACCACCCCAUUAUCUUACCCACAAAUGGAUUUAAAGAAACCUCGAUACUGAAUAGAUUCACUCUCGAAGAAACCCAAAUUGAUUAUGUUCGAAAGGAUACCACAUACCAGACCCAUUUAGAAGUCGGUGCUUCCUCAAAUAUUGUUGUAUUUGACCAAUUCGAUUGGUGGGUGCAGUUUUGUAUCUUUGAUUCAUAUAUUACAUGGGUUUCCUUUCUUUUGGAGAAUCGUGGUGGAUGCCAAAAAAAAACCGGAAUGGAUCAAUCAACAGUAUUUGAUCAUGAAUGUGUGCAUAACUAUCAUUUGGCUCCAUGGCGAAUUGCAUCGGUGUAUAAGUAAAUGCUUUCGUUUAACCAGCAUUGCAAUUUCAUUCAGAUGCUACUUCAAAGGAUGCGCUAUUGUUGAAAAGACAGAGAUCGGUUAACAGUUACAGUGAAAACUGAUCAGAUUUCGGAAUCGGAUACAAUCGAAAAGGAGAAAACCUAUGAAUUCGAACUGUGGGUUUAAAGAAAUGCAAUCGGUAAACAAUACAUGUUUUAGGUACAAAAUAAUGAACAAACGUGGGCAAAAUCAAUACGUUUAAUUUCAAUACGAGCUAUUACAUGACAAAGAUAACAUUUUUAAGUCGAUCUCUCUUUACAAUGAGUAAAAUAAAACCCUAAACCCAAAAUCUAAGAACUGGUAAAUUUUGUUACAGCUUUCGUUCCCUCAGAAACAGCAUGCUUUGCCAACUCUCCAGGCAAAACCAAUCUCACCGCCGUCUGAAUUUCCCUGGAGGUGAUCGUGGGCUUCUUGUUGUACCUCGCAAGUUUCGAAGAUUCCUGAGCAAGCUUCUCGAAGAUGUCGUUGAUGAACGAGUUCAUAAUCCCCAUGGCCUUGCUUGAGAUACCGAUGUCAGGAUGAACCUGCUUCAAAACCUUGAAGAUGUAGAUCUUGUAUGUCUCCACGUUCUUCUUGCUUCUCUUCUUCUUCUUAUCGGUGGCACCGGCGCCGGCUUCCUUGGGAAGCUUCUUUCCGGCCUUUGGCUUUUUCUCGGCAGGGGAUUUUUCAGCUACGGCGGUUUUCUUCUCCUCCGCUGGCUUCUUCUCAGCUGGCUUCUUCUCUGCUUUAGGCGCCAUUGAAGGGACUUUUGUUUUGUAGAGAGGGAAUUUGAUGUUUAAAAAGAAAGAGAGAGAUGGCUGAUACGUUGAGAAGAUGAAAAUGAAAGACGAAUUUGUUGUGUUUAUAUGAGGAUUGAGAGGCGUUGUCUGAUUGGUUGAUUUUAGAUGUCCCGGAUUGUGCAUAGAGACCGUUGAUAUCUGGUCUUGAUUUUUUUUUUUUCAGCGGACGUGAUUUAAUUUGCGAAAUGACACGGAUCAACAUAUUGGCGCAUGUAUUGUAUAAGACGACUCGGUGUGGGCCUCGACGAGAAGCGACGCGACCCACGUGGCACUCCACAACGCCGUCAUAACGCGGUGAACACCCCCCCCCCCUACUCGUUGCUUCUCGUCGCCCGGAACUCGUUGUCUUGGAAACGAGUUAUAACGCCAAAAGAAAUAUACGUUGCGGAGUUUUUUACCGUUUAAUAACGGUCUAUUUCAAAAAAAAAAAAAAUUACCUUUUUACCAUUUAUAUAUAUAUACAUGCAUUUUAUUUCAAAUUUUAUAUACUUUUAUCUCAUUCUCUCUAUAUCUUUAUACACAUUUUCUCUCAUUCUCUCUAUAUCUAUAUCUUUAAUUCAAAAAAUGGAGCAAAACCCAAACACCCCCCCUCCAUCAUCAAACUCAAACACAACCUCGCCUCUCGGAUUUGCGGGGUACGAAAAUUAUUUUAACCUUUUGUCGUCUCAAGGUUCACCACAAAUACCAUACCAAGGUGCCGCUUUCAAUCCCGCUUCACCGCCACUGCAAUUUCCCAACUCACCUUACGUUCAACAAAAUCAAUUUGGUCAAAACCCAAAUUUACAACAAAAUCUUUUCUCUACUUUUGGUUCGAUGCAACAAACAACCAAUCAACCGUCGCCUACAACACAACCAACAGUUCAAGUGGAAGCAGGAAGUAGUAGGAAAGGGAAAGGGAAAGGAAAAUCAAAAGGGAAAUCAAUAGCGGUGGAAUCUGAAAAUGCAGACGUUCCACAAUGGUGGACACCGGAGGAGGAAUACGCUUUGACGGCGGCUUGGUGUGCUACUUCAAAGGACGAACUUCGCGGAAAUGGAAUAAAAAAGGAGCUUAUUGGGGGCGGUGCUCGACAAGUUUCACGCUAUUUUAAGGAAAAAUCUGUAUCGCAACGACAUGUUGAGCAGCAAAUGGGGUAUGAUAACUAAGCGGUGCAGCAAAUUCAACGGUAUUUACAACCGGAUUGCGACGUAACAACAAAGUGGAACCAACGAGUUUGAUUUGUUCAAAGCUGUAGGGAACAAUAUCGGGUCGAAAUUGGUCAUGUUUUCGACUUUGAAAAAUCAUGGGAAUUGUUGCGAGCGGAUCCAAAGUGGAAUAAAACGCCUACAUCGUCGGAGGUUCAAUCCAAAAGGUCUCGUAACUCUAGUUCGGUCGACGUGUCGGACGCACGGACUAACAUCGACCUAAACGCCGAUGACGAUGAGAUCCAGGAUGAUAUCCAAAAGAUAUCCCCACCACGACGACCGCCCGGACGCGACAAAGCGAGGCGCGCUGCAAGACAUGCGGAGGAGGUGGAGACGAGAGCAAAAGAUGCGGCGGAAAUGAGAGCGAAUGUAACAGCCCAGAAUCUCAGGUAUUGUCAAAUUAUGUUUUUGGGGUGAUUUAAGAGGGGACUCGGCGACUUGGAGCCUAGACUCGCCGAGUAGGAUCGCAGACUUGGUCGCGGGUUCGCGACUGGACUCGACGAGUCCAGAUAUGGACUCGGCGAGUCUACGCUGUUUAGCGAAAACCCUAACCGUUCAGGUUUGGGACGUAUAAAAAGGACUCAUUGGCCGUCAUUGUUCAUUUUAGCCUUCUGAGAAGAACCCUAAAUCGAUUGUGUGCAUCUGGAGCAAGGAUUAUAGGCCAUUGUUGAUCAUAGAAGAGUUGUUGUGCAAGGAAGAGAAGAGAUUGGCUAGAGGAACAGCAAGGGAGUCACAUUCUGAGGAUUGGGGACACAGAGAAUACAUCAUCCAGGUAAGAAUUCGAGUAUACUCUGCUAUAUUGAUGUAUUUAUGGAUUUAGGGUUUAUGGAACCCUUUUGUGAUUAGAUUGAAUGUUACCCUAGUCCCCUAAACGAGUGUAACCCUGUAUUGAGACCUUUGGGAGGUCCAGAAUGUCCCAUGUCUGUGCAUUUCGGGAAUUGAUGAAGGUUUUGGAUUGGAAUCCUUAUGCCUUAGGUCAAAAUGUAAAUUAUGAAUCAUAUGGUGUAUCAUGAGCACUGAAAUGAGGACUUUACGUGAUGGAUCAGCCUAGGAAGGCCAGACCUAGGAAUGGUCGAAGCAGUUCUGACCUUAGGAUGCAGUUUGAGCGGUUGCAUGGCAUGGACUCGCCGAGUUCGAUGAACAGACUCGGCGAGUAGCUUGAAGAUUAACUGGGACUCGUCGAGUUGUUCUUCAGACUCGGCGAGUUGAGUCGGGGUGGCCCCGCGAUUCUUCCAGGAGUAACUCGUCGGGUCAAGGAGGAUACUCGACGAGUAGAUAGGGAAUCUCAGAGAGUUGGAGGACGUCUAGACUCGCCGAGUCGCCAUGGCACUCGCCGAGUCCGGUCGAGUUGACCGUUGACCGUUGACCGUUGACCAGAGUUGACCUAAGUCUGACUUCUUAGGGAUAGUCACACUUAGAAGAUAUAAGUGUUAAUGAGAGAUAUGUGAUGUUAUAGGGAGGUUGUAGCUCGUCGGAUUGUGCACGAGUGAUUUCAGGAUUUGCUAGCUUUCAGCAUUCACGAGGUGAGUCUUCUCACUAUACUGUACCCGGAAGGGUUUGACUGUGUGACCGGAAGGUCAGAUAUGAUAUGUGAUAUGUAUGCUAUAUGUGGUAAGUUAUUUGUUAUAUGUGCUAUGUAUGUUAUGUGGGCCGGAAGGCAAUAUGUUAUGGGCCGGAAGGCGAUUAUGUUAUGGGCCGGAAGGCGUUGUGUUGAGGACCGGAAGGUCAGGGCCUGGAAAGGCGUAUGUGCGUAAGUUGUAUAUUGGGGAACUCACUAAGCAUUUAUGCUUACAGUUGUUAUGUAUGUGUUUCAGGUACUAGCGAGGACCGUGGGAAGGCGCCGGCGUGAUCGAUACACACUGAAGGAUGUUUUUAUGAUCUUGGGAUUUAGACAAUUUGUAUUUGACAUGACACUUAAAUUAUUUAUGCCUUGUUUUGAAUGGAAAUACUUUAUUUUUAAAAUGAAAAAUUUGUUUGAAAAUUUGCGUUGUUACAAUUGGUAUCAGAGCCUUGGUUUGAGGGAUUCGGGUGCACCUUCGGGAGUAACUGAACUCAAACCGAGGAUUUGAGGAAAACUUUUUAAAUAAAGGCAUAAACUUUUGUAAAUGGUUUUGUGGUAAGCAAGAAAGAAGCAGUGUGUACGAUCAGUCAGCGCCCGAACGGUAAAGAUCCCCAAAAUACCUUACAAUAUUAUAUGAUAUGAAUUGUUAUGCAUGCUAGAAGACUAGGUAUUCAUGAUAGGACUAGAGUGGCCUGAUUUGUGAUGCCUUAGUCUAGGGAAGUUUGCCGAUAUGAGAUGCUUUGCUAGUGUGCGGGUAGAUAGUGCAUAACAGAAGUAGAGUACUCACUAUCCGGGGUUUGGGGAGGAAGACUUGGGAUGAAUGCUGAUGCGGUGUGGUCGGUAGUAUUGGGCCCGUACUACCGAAGACACCGGGUCAGUGGGAGACCCAAGUAAGAAUCCCUGGAUAUCGGAGACUGAGUAGGGUUGCGUUAUCGAGUGCGAUUAUACUCGAUGGAGUCUCUGAUAGUUUUAUGUUGUAUUUCAGAGACAUCAUGGUUAGACCACGCCACGGAGCGAGUUCGAGCGGUGUGAGUGACGAGGAGAUUCGUCAGAUGAUUCACGAGGAGGUAGCUGCGGCGAUCCGGGCUGAGAUCCCGGAGAUGUUUGGGUCUAUUAAGACCACCCUGAUGGAGACGUUUGAGGAGCGGUACGCCGCAUUGACUGAGGCUGCAACCGCUGCAGCUACCGCAGCUGUGGCCGCUGCUAGGCCACAGGGGGGUGACUCGUUGCUGUUCCGAGAGUUCAGCAACACGAAGCCACCAGAGUUCGAUGGGACGCAGGAUCCGAUUGCUGCGAUGAGGUGGAUCGCGGAUAUAGAGGGGUGCUUCUACACUUGUUCAUGCCCGGAGCACCUGAGGGUACGGUUCGCUUUGAACCAGCUCCGUCUGGGAGCGAAGGACUGGUGGAAGUUCGUGACGGCGAACUUCACUUUGGCAGAGAUUACAGCAGUGACAUGGGAGGGGUUUACUGCUAUGUUCAGGGACGAGUACGUUCCCCCGGUGGAGAGGGAACGAUUGGUUCAGGAGUUCUUAACCCUCAAGCAGGGUACUGAUUCUGUUGCGGUGAUCACGCGGAAGUUUCAUGAGAGGGCGAUGUUCUGCCCCGAGCUGGUGUCCACUGAUCAGGCUCGGAUGAGCCGGUACUUGGGAGUGUUGAGGAGGGAUAUCCGGGAGUUUGUGUCAAACUCCACUUACCAUACUUUUGCUGAGCUUCAGGCGAAUGCCAGGAAGCGCGAGAUCGAGUUGGAGACCCAGGCCAGGGAGGAGGCCGAGUCUCAGCGGGUGGACCGGCGGCCGGCUCAGUUUCAGCCGGCAGCCAAGCGGACUAAGUCCGCUGAUUCGAGGACAGGAGGUUCGAAGGGUCGCACUUGCGGGAAGUGCGGCAAGAGUCAUGAUGGAGUAUGUCGAUCUGGUGCUUGCUACAAGUGUGGCAAGGAGGGGCACAUUGCUAGGGAGUGCCCCAAGGGAUUUACGGUUUGCUUUCAUUGCAACCAGACUGGCCAUAGGAAGGCCGAGUGCCCUCAGCUUCUUCAGGGAUCUGCACCUGCUGCCGGAGUUACUGCGACUCGACCGGUGAAGGCCGAGGCCCCGAGGGCUCGGGGAAGAGCCUUUCAGCUGACUGCGGAAGAGGUCCGCGCUGCGCCCGAUGUUGUGGCAGGUAUGUUGUAAUUCAUGUAAUUAUUUUAAUGUCGAUAUGUUAUGCUUAUGUUAUUAUGCGCGUAGGUACUUUCCUGGUGAACUCUGUGCCUGCCUUAGUGUUAUUUGACUCGGGUGCGAGUAGGUCCUUUGUGUCCUUAGCCUUUAGUCAGCAUAUCAGCGUUAGUCGUGAGUCGUUGAGUCGACCUUUGAGAGUUUCUAUAGCUGACGAGAAAGUGAUUUGUGCCACGGAGGUUCUUCGGGGAUGUGUACUAGAGAUUUUCGGGGUUGAAUUCCCGAUUGACCUGAUUCCUAUUGCGAUGGGUGAUGUCUGUGUCAUCGUGGGCAUGGACUGGUUGAGCCGAUUCGGCGCUGUCAUCGACUGUGAGCGUCAGUUGGUGACUAUACGAGACCCUAGAGGGGGAGUUCUUUCGGUGUACGGCGAGGGUACCCGUUCGGGAUCAGCUUUUUGUUCGGCCGCUAGGGCGAGGCAGUGUCUACAGCAGGGCUGUAAGGGUUUUGUGGCGUAUGUGAUGGAUACGCGGGAGGUUUCCGAGAGACCGAAGUCAGUUGAGGAGGUCCCUGUGGUGCGUGAGUUUCCAGAUGUUUUCCCCGAGGAGCUGCCGGGAGUACCUCCUGUGAGGCAAGUAGAGUUUGGUAUCGAUCUGGUUCCGGGGGCCGCGCCUAUUGCUAAAGUGCCUUAUCGUCUUGCACCUCCAGAGAUGCAAGAGUUGUCCUCGCAACUCCAGGAGUUGCUGGGAAAGGGAUUCAUUCGGCCGAGCAGCUCGCCAUGGGGAGCACCUAUUCUGUUCGUCAAGAAGAAGGAUGGUUCACACCGGAUGUGCAUUGAUUACCGGGAGUUGAACAAGCUAACGGUCAAGAACCGUUACCCGUUGCCGAGGAUCGAUGAUUUAUUCGAUCAGUUGCAGGGAGCAUCUUGGUUUUCCAAGAUCGAUCUGAGGUCAGGGUACCAUCAGGUGAGAGUACGGGAUGAAGACGUCCAGAAGACAGCGUUUAGGACGCGAUAUGGACAUUAUGAGUUUGUGGUGAUGCCUUUUGGACUCACCAAUGCCCCGGCUGUGUUCAUGGAUCUCAUGAACAGGGUAUGCAGGCCGAUGUUGGAUCGGUCAGUGAUCGUAUUUAUCGACGACAUUCUGGUGUAUUCGAGAUCGAGAGAGCAGCAUGAGGAGCAUUUGAGGGAGGUCCUUGAGGUAUUGAGGUCGGAGAAACUUUAUGCAAAGUUCUCCAAAUGUGACUUCUGGUUGCGGGAGGUCCAAUUUCUAGGACAUGUGGUUAAUCAGAAAGGGAUAUUGGUCGAUCCGGCCAAGGUUGAGGCGGUGAUGAGUUGGGAGGUGCCGAAGUCACCCUCUGAGAUCAGAAGUUUCCUUGGGUUGGCAGGGUAUUAUCGGAGAUUUAUCAAGGAUUUCUCCAAGAUCGCAGUGCCACUCACCAGAUUGACCCGGAAGGGUGUUACGUUCUCAUGGGGGCCCGAGCAGCAGACCUCCUUUGAGACACUUCGCCAGAGAUUGUGCGAAGCCCCGGUAUUAGCUCUCCCAGAAGGGAUGGAAGAUUUCGUGGUAUAUUGCGACGCAUCGAUUUCGGGAUUGGGUGCAGUGUUGAUGCAGAGGGGUCAUGUGAUAGCUUAUGCGUCGAGGCAGCUGAAGCCUCAUGAGGCGAGAUAUCCCACGCAUGAUUUAGAGUUGGGGGCAGUAGUGUUCGCUCUCAAGAUUUGGCGUCACUACUUGUAUGGGGUUCGAUGUACGAUAUACACGGACCAUAAGAGUUUGAAGUAUUUGAUGGAUCAACCCAACCUAAAUAUGCGUCAGAGGAGGUGGUUGGAUGUGGUCAAGGAUUAUGAUUGUGAGAUCCUGUACCACCCAGGCAAGGCUAAUGUGGUAGCCGAUGCAUUGAGUCGCAGGGCGGAGAGCACUCCAUUGCGAGAUGUAUGCUUGAGACUGACUGUGAUGACUCCAGUAUUGGACGCUAUUCGUGGGGCCCAGGCAGAGGCUGUGCGACCAGAAAUGCAGAAGAAAGAGCGGGUUGUGGGGUUAAUCUCAGAGUUUGUCAAGGAUAGUCGAGGCCUUAUGACGUUUCAGGGUCGGAUUUGGGUACCGUUCGUGGGCGGUACGCGUAUUACGUUGAUGGAAGAGGCUCAUAGAUCGAAAUUCUCGAUCCAUCCCGGUGCUACAAAGAUGUAUUUGGAUUUAAGGAAGGAAUAUUGGUGGCCCUGUAUGAAGAGGGACGUGGCAUGGUUCGUUGAGAGGUGCUUGACCUGCCGUAGGGUUAAGGCUGAGCACCAGAGACCGCAUGGCAAGUUACAGCCAUUGGAGAUCCCCGAGUGGAAGUGGGAACAGAUCACUAUGGAUUUUAUCACCAAAUUGCCAAGGACUGCUAGGGGAGUUGACGCAAUUUGGGUGAUCGUGGAUAGGUUGACAAAGAGUGCACACUUCCUUGCCAUCAGUGAGAGUUCUUCGGCGGAGAAAUUGGCGGAGAUAUACGUGAGAGAGGUGGUAUCUCGGCACGGGGUGCCGAUCUCGAUUGUGUCAGACCGUGAUGUGCGCUUUACUUCCAGAUUCUGGAAGAAAUUCCAUGAGGAGCUGGGUACUAAAUUGCAUUUUAGUACCGCAUACCAUCCCCAGACAGACGGUCAGAGCGAGCGGACAAUUCAGACGCUGGAGGACAUGCUCCGAGCGUGUGUGUUAGACUUCGGGGGUAGUUGGGAUGCGUAUUUACCAUUGGCAGAGUUCUCCUACAACAACAGCCAUCAUUCGAGCAUUGGUAUGCCACCUUUCGAGCUGUUGUAUGGUAGGAGGUGUCGGACCCCCAUUUGCUGGGGAGAGGUGGGACAGAGAGUGAUGGGCAGCACGGAGAUCGUGCUCCAGACGACAGAGCAGAUUCAGCGAGUGAGACAAAGGUUAUUGACUGCCCAGAGCCGACAGAAGAGUUAUGCAGACAGGCGCCGAUCCGAGCUUGAAUUUCAGGUCGGCGACUUCGUUCUCCUGAAGGUCUCUCCUUGG
This 37873-nucleotide long non-coding RNA is filed under the name Lactuca sativa (garden lettuce). Its description in RNAcentral is "long non-coding RNA (LSAT_LNC000309)". The record is from RNAcentral. Lineage: Eukaryota; Viridiplantae; Streptophyta; Magnoliopsida; Asterales; Asteraceae.